Molecule: ribosomal RNA, 638 nt
Filed under: uncultured Chloroflexota bacterium
Lineage: Bacteria; Bacillati; Chloroflexota
Description: bacterial SSU rRNA
Rfam family: Bacterial small subunit ribosomal RNA
Source: RNAcentral
GAUGAACGCUGGCGGCGUGCUUAACACAUGCAAGUCGAACGUGAGUUCCUCUUCGGAGGAAUGAAAGUGGCAAACGGGUGAGUAACACGUUGGUGACCUGCCCCUCGGUGGGGGAUAACCCUGGGAAACCAGGGCUAAUACCGCGGAUGUCAGGACUGUUAGAGGGUCUUGACUAAAACUAAGGUGCCGAGGGAGGGGCCUGCGGGCUAUCAGCUAGUUGGUGGGGUAAAGGCUCACCAAGGCGCAGACGGCUAGGGGGCGUGAGAGCGCGACCCCCCACAAGGGAACUGAGACACGGUCCCUACUCCUACGGGAGGCAGCAGUGAGGAAUAUUGCCCAAUGGAGGAAACUCUGAGGCAGCAACGCCGCGUGAACGAUGACGGCCUUCGGGUUGUAAAGUUCUUUUCUCAGGGAAGAUGAUGACGGUACCUGAGGAAUAAGUCCCGGCUAACUACGUGCCAGCAGCCGCGGUAAAACGUAGGGGACAAGCGUUAUCCGGAUUUACUGGGCGUAAAGCGCCCGUAGGCGGCCAAAUAAGUUGGUUAUGAAAGCUCCUGGCUAAACUGGGAGAGGUUGACCAAGACUGUUGGACUUGAGUGGAGAAGAGGUAACGGAAUUCCCCGUGUAGUGUGAAAUGC